UCGAUUACACUAUUCAUGUAAUCAAUUACAUGAUAUGUCUGCUUGAAAAAUAUGAUUGUUUAAAGGAUGAUAAUCGAUUACAUCGAAAGUGUAACCGAUUACACCUACAAAAAAUGUAAAAAAUUUGAACCAUUAUGAUUCCGAUUCAUUUCAAUGGUUCAUGGAUCUUCCCCAAACCAUUGUAUCAAAUCCUACUUCAAGAGGAAAUUAUAGUCGUAACACCUUGUCACGGGUUAACCAUAAU
Molecule: long non-coding RNA, 244 nt
Filed under: Lathyrus oleraceus (garden pea)
Lineage: Eukaryota; Viridiplantae; Streptophyta; Magnoliopsida; Fabales; Fabaceae
Description: Pisum sativum (pea) long non-coding RNA (PSAT_LNC018538)
Source: RNAcentral